GAGUUUGAUCAUGGCUCAGAUUGAACGCUGGCGGCAGGCCUAACACAUGCAAGUCGAGCGGAUGAAGGGAGCUUGCUCCUGGAUUCAGCGGCGGACGGGUGAGUAAUGCCUAGGAAUCUGCCUGGUAGUGGGGGAUAACGUCCGGAAACGGGCGCUAAUACCGCAUACGUCCUGAGGGAGAAAGUGGGGGAUCUUCGGACCUCACGCUAUCAGAUGAGCCUAGGUCGGAUUAGCUAGUUGGUGGGUAAAGGCCUACCAAGGCGACGAUCCGUAACUGGUCUGAGAGGAUGAUCAGUCACACUGGAACUGAGACACGGUCCAGACUCCUACGGGAGGCAGCAGUGGGGAAUAUUGGACAAUGGGCGAAAGCCUGAUCCAGCCAUGCCGCGUGUGUGAAGAAGGUCUUCGGAUUGUAAAGCACUUUAAGUUGGGAGGAAGGGCAGUAAGUUAAUACCUUGCUGUUUUGACGUUACCAACAGAAUAAGCACCGGCUAACUUCGUGCCAGCAGCCGCC
RNAcentral lists this ribosomal RNA (514 nucleotides) under uncultured microorganism. RNAcentral describes it as "bacterial SSU rRNA". It matches the Rfam family "Bacterial small subunit ribosomal RNA", at positions 9 to 519 of the family's 1533-position model. The record is from RNAcentral.